AUCCAGCUGACGAGCCCCAAAUAGGGCAUCCUGGAU
RNAcentral lists this non-coding RNA (36 nucleotides) under Trichobilharzia regenti. The record is from RNAcentral. Lineage: Eukaryota; Metazoa; Platyhelminthes; Trematoda; Strigeidida; Schistosomatidae.